This 399-nucleotide ribosomal RNA is filed under the name uncultured bacterium. Its description in RNAcentral is "bacterial SSU rRNA". It matches the Rfam family "Bacterial small subunit ribosomal RNA", at positions 362 to 776 of the family's 1533-position model. The record is from RNAcentral.
UAUUGCACAAUGGGGGAAACCCUGAUGCAGCGACGCCGCGUGAGUGAAGAAGUAUUUCGGUAUGUAAAGCCCUAUCAGCAGGGAAGAAGAAAUGACGGUACCUGAGUAAGAAGCACCGGCUAAAUACGUGCCAGCAACCGCGGUAAUACGUAUGGUGCAAGCGUUAUCCGGAUUUACUGGGUGUAAAGGGAGCGUAGACGGCUGUGCAAGUCUGAAGUGAAAGCCCGUGGCUCAACCGCGGAACUGCUUUGGAAACUGUAUAGCUUGAGUACUGGAGAGGCAGGCGGAAUUCCUAGUGUAGCGGUGAAAUGCGUAGAUAUUAGGAGGAACACCAGUGGCGAAGGCGGCCUGCUGGACAGAAACUGACGUUGAGGCUCGAAAGCGUGGGGAGCAAACAGG